Molecule: ribosomal RNA, 443 nt
Filed under: uncultured bacterium
Lineage: Bacteria
Description: partial 16S ribosomal RNA
Rfam family: Bacterial small subunit ribosomal RNA
Source: RNAcentral
CCUACGGGAGGCAGCAGUGGGGGAUAUUGCACAAUGGGGGGAACCCUGAUGCAGCAACGCCGCGUGAAGGAAGAAGGCUCUCGGGUUGUAAACUUCUUUUAUCAGGGACGAAGCAAGUGACGGUACCUGAUGAAUAAGCCACGGCUAACUACGUGCCAGCAGCCGCGGUAAUACGUAGGUGGCAAGCGUUAUCCGGAUUUACUGGGUGUAAAGGGAGCGUAGACGGUGAGACAAGUCUGAAGUGAAAGCCCGGGGCUCAACCCCGGGACUGCUUUGGAAACUGCCUGACUGGAGUGCUGGAGAGGCAAGCGGAAUUCCUAGUGUAGCGGUGAAAUGCGUAGAUAUUAGGAAGAACACCAGUGGCGAAGGCGGCUUGCUGGACAGUAACUGACGUUGAGGCUCGAAAGCGUGGGGAGCAAACAGGAUUAGAUACCCGAGUAGUC